RNAcentral lists this ribosomal RNA (1416 nucleotides) under Salmonella enterica. RNAcentral describes it as "partial 23S ribosomal RNA". It matches the Rfam family "Bacterial large subunit ribosomal RNA", at positions 1403 to 2802 of the family's 2925-position model. The record is from RNAcentral. RNAcentral also lists the same sequence under 1 other name. Lineage: Bacteria; Pseudomonadati; Pseudomonadota; Gammaproteobacteria; Enterobacterales; Enterobacteriaceae.
CGAAAGGCGUAGUCGAUGGGAAACGGGUUAAUAUUCCCGUACUUGGUGUUACUGCGAAGGGGGGACGGAGAAGGCUAUGUUGGCCGGGCGACGGUUGUCCCGGUUUAAGCGUGUAGGUGUGUGUUCCAGGUAAAUCCGGUUCACUUUAACACUGAGGCGUGACGACGAGGCACUACGGUGCUGAAGCAACAAAUGCCCUGCUUCCAGGAAAAGCCUCUAAGCAUCAGGUAACAUCAAAUCGUACCCCAAACCGACACAGGUGGUCAGGUAGAGAAUACCAAGGCGCUUGAGAGAACUCGGGUGAAGGAACUAGGCAAAAUGGUGCCGUAACUUCGGGAGAAGGCACGCUGACACGUAGGUGAAGUGAUUUACUCAUGGAGCUGAAGUCAGUCGAAGAUACCAGCUGGCUGCAACUGUUUAUUAAAAACACAGCACUGUGCAAACACGAAAGUGGACGUAUACGGUGUGACGCCUGCCCGGUGCCGGAAGGUUAAUUGAUGGGGUCAGCGCAAGCGAAGCUCCUGAUCGAAGCCCCGGUAAACGGCGGCCGUAACUAUAACGGUCCUAAGGUAGCGAAAUUCCUUGUCGGGUAAGUUCCGACCUGCACGAAUGGCGUAAUGAUGGCCAGGCUGUCUCCACCCGAGACUCAGUGAAAUUGAACUCGCUGUGAAGAUGCAGUGUACCCGCGGCAAGACGGAAAGACCCCGUGAACCUUUACUAUAGCUUGACACUGAACAUUGAGCCUUGAUGUGUAGGAUAGGUGGGAGGCUUUGAAGUGUGGACGCCAGUCUGCAUGGAGCCGACCUUGAAAUACCACCCUUUAAUGUUUGAUGUUCUAACGUGGACCCGUUACCCGGGUUGCGGACAGUGUCUGGUGGGUAGUUUGACUGGGGCGGUCUCCUCCUAAAGAGUAACGGAGGAGCACGAAGGUUGGCUAAUCCUGGUCGGACAUCAGGAGGUUAGUGCAAUGGCAUAAGCCAGCUUGACUGCGAGCGUGACGGCGCGAGCAGGUGCGAAAGCAGGUCAUAGUGAUCCGGUGGUUCUGAAUGGAAGGGCCAUCGCUCAACGGAUAAAAGGUACUCCGGGGAUAACAGGCUGAUACCGCCCAAGAGUUCAUAUCGACGGCGGUGUUUGGCACCUCGAUGUCGGCUCAUCACAUCCUGGGGCUGAAGUAGGUCCCAAGGGUAUGGCUGUUCGCCAUUUAAAGUGGUACGCGAGCUGGGUUUAGAACGUCGUGAGACAGUUCGGUCCCUAUCUGCCGUGGGCGCUGGAGAACUGAGGGGGGCUGCUCCUAGUACGAGAGGACCGGAGUGGACGCAUCACUGGUGUUCGGGUUGUCAUGCCAAUGGCACUGCCCGGUAGCUAAAUGCGGAAGAGAUAAGUGCUGAAAGCAUCUAAGCACGAAACUUGCCCCGA